This 465-nucleotide ribosomal RNA is filed under the name uncultured bacterium. Its description in RNAcentral is "partial 16S ribosomal RNA". It matches the Rfam family "Bacterial small subunit ribosomal RNA", at positions 28 to 507 of the family's 1533-position model. The record is from RNAcentral.
GACGAACGCUGGCGGCGUGCUUAACACAUGCAAGUCGAACGGAAAGGCCCCCUUGUGGGGUACUCGAGUGGCGAACGGGUGAGUAACACGUGAGUAACCUACCCUUGACUUUGGGAUAACUUCAGGAAACUGGGGCUAAUACCGGAUAGGAGCUCCUGCUGCAUGGUGGGGGUUGGAAAGUUUCGGCGGUUGGGGAUGGGCUCGCGGCUUAUCAGCUUGUUGGUGGGGUAGUGGCUCACCAAGGCUUUGACGGGUAGCCGGCCUGAGAGGGUGACCGGCCACAUUGGGCCUGAGAUACGGCCCAGACUCCUACGGGAGGCAGCAGUGGGGAAUAUUGCACAAUGGGCGGAAGCCUGAUGCAGCAACGCCGCGUGCGGGAUGACGGCCUUCGGGUUGUAAACCGCUUUCGCCUGUGACGAAGCGUGAGUGACGGUAAUGGGUAAAGAAGCACCGGCUAACUACGUG